This 468-nucleotide ribosomal RNA is filed under the name uncultured bacterium. Its description in RNAcentral is "partial 16S ribosomal RNA". It matches the Rfam family "Bacterial small subunit ribosomal RNA", at positions 28 to 507 of the family's 1533-position model. The record is from RNAcentral.
GACGAACGCUGGCGGCGUGCUUAACACAUGCAAGUCGAACGGAAAGGCCCUGCGCUUGCUGGGUUCUCGAGUGGCGAACGGGGGAGUAACACGUGAGUAACCUGCCCUUGACUUUGGGAUAACUCCAGGAAACUGGGGCUAAUACCGGAUAGGAGCUCCUGCUGCAUGGUGGGGGUUGGAAAGUUUCGGCGGUUGGGGAUAGAUUCGCGGCUUAUGAGCUAGUUGGUGGGGUAGUGGCUUACGAAGGGUUUGACGGAUAGCCGGCCUGGGAGGGUUGCCGGGCACCUUACGACUAAGGGACGCCGCAGACUCCAACGGUAGGCAACAGUGGGAAAUCUGACGGAACGACGGGGCGCCUGAUGCAGCAACCUCGGGUGCGUGAAGCCCGCUUUCGGGUUGUAAACCGCUUUCGCCUGUGCCAAGCCGUGAGUGACGGUACUGGGUAAAGAAGCACCGGCUAACUACGUG